GAAGAUGAGGACAUGUAGUACACAGCACAGGUAGUAUAUAGCAAAGCCCAAACUCAACAUGUCUGUGUGAUCUUAGCCCUGAGCUAUCAUUUCAAGAGAAGACAUCAAGAACUAAGGCCACAGGCAAGAAACAAAGAAGCUGGGAUUAGCAGCUUGUGACAUCAGAGAACACAGGCAACGUCUCGGAGCUCCACUGCGGCAAUGGAAGGAACUUAGAAGGAGGACAACCAGGCUUUCCCUGCCAUCUGGAGCCUAAAAACUGCCCUAAUCAACUCCUUUGCCCAGCUCGCAACCAGAGGAGAAAUGGAAAUAAUCAGUAAAUGAGAAAUCAGGGUCUAUUUGAGCCCUCUGAGGUAGCUCAGCCUCUUCAUUUCAUGGGUGAGGAAAUUAGUCAGCCAAGUUGGAAGGGGUCCCUGGAGAAACUGCAACGAUCCUGCGCAAUGAGGUGGAGCCUCGGGAAGUUCGUGCCCCGGCCCCGCCUCUUCCUACGUGGAACCUGGGAUUCAAACUGCCGGGUGGGAAGCAUUCUCUCAGACUCACUCGUGGUUCCCGUUUUCCCCUUUCACCCAAUAAAACCCUGCUUUACUCACCCUUUAAG
Molecule: long non-coding RNA, 598 nt
Organism: Callithrix jacchus (white-tufted-ear marmoset)
Lineage: Eukaryota; Metazoa; Chordata; Mammalia; Primates; Cebidae
Source: RefSeq, a predicted model, not a curated record